AUCGCUUCUCGGCCUUUUGGCUAAGAUCAAGUGUAGUAUCACUGUGAGACAUUACAAGGGUAUAAACUAUGUAUGGUUUUUAGAGUUGGAGCCCUU
Small nuclear RNA from Oryctolagus cuniculus (rabbit), 96 nucleotides. Its record names the gene U2. It matches the Rfam family "U2 spliceosomal RNA". Rfam says of the family: U2 is a small nuclear RNA (snRNA) component of the spliceosome (involved in pre-mRNA splicing). The record is from Ensembl. Lineage: Eukaryota; Metazoa; Chordata; Mammalia; Lagomorpha; Leporidae.